Non-coding RNA from Paramuricea clavata, 232 nucleotides. Lineage: Eukaryota; Metazoa; Cnidaria; Anthozoa; Malacalcyonacea; Plexauridae. The record is from the annotation of a GenBank genome assembly.
CCCCAUUUUUGCGGCGGUGGAGUGCGGCGGUGGAGUGUGGAGUGUGGAGGGUAAUUAGUAUUCCAAUACGUCAUAAUUAUAUGCAAUGACGUCACGCGGGCAGGUUUAAACAAGGACAUGUGAAACUUGCUGACUACGCAUUUUUUAUUAAUAUAGAGGCCGUUCGACCCCCAUUUUUGCGGCGGUGGAGUGCGGCGGUGGAGUGUGGAAUGUGGAGGGUAAUUAGUAUUCC